Molecule: long non-coding RNA, 277 nt
Organism: Hippocampus comes (tiger tail seahorse)
Lineage: Eukaryota; Metazoa; Chordata; Actinopteri; Syngnathiformes; Syngnathidae
Exons: 3
Source: RefSeq, a predicted model, not a curated record
UUAUUUCUUCAUCCACUUCGUAUCUUCAGGCAUCAGGUCUGAGCUUUUGGAAAGAAGAAUUGCACAGAUAAUACGGGACAAGAUUCAUGCAGAACGGAACCCACCGCUUCCCCAAACUGACUUCGCCACCACAACUCAGAGGGAUUUUCGAGUCGAGGGAUUUGUACCCCAAACGACUAAAAUCAACCGAUUUCAUGAUUAUACAACUGAGCAGGCCAUCAGCUAUUGGAGUGAAAAUUACCAGAGGAUACAGGUGGGUCACAAUUGCUCGGGGAAU